Molecule: ribosomal RNA, 505 nt
Filed under: uncultured bacterium
Lineage: Bacteria
Description: partial 16S ribosomal RNA
Rfam family: Bacterial small subunit ribosomal RNA
Source: RNAcentral
GACGAACGCUGGCGGCGUGCCUAAUACAUGCAAGUAGAACGCACAGUUUAUACCGUAGCUUGCUACACCAUAGACUGUGAGUUGCGAACGGGUGAGUAACGCGUAGGUAACCUGCCUGGUAGCGGGGGAUAACUAUUGGAAACGAUAGCUAAUACCGCAUAAUAUUAAUUAUUGCAUGAUAAUUAAUUGAAAGGUGCAAUUGCACCACUACCAGAUGGACCUGCGUUGUAUUAGCUAGUAGGUGAGGUAACGGCUCACCUAGGCGACGAUACAUAGCCGACCUGAGAGGGGGAUCGGCCACACUGGGACUGAGACACGGCCCAGACUCCUACGGGAGGCAGCAGUAGGGAAUCUUCGGCAAUGGACGAAAGUCUGACCGAGCAACGCCGCGUGAGUGAAGAAGGUUUUCGGAUCGUAAAGCUCUGUUGUAAGAGAAGAACGGGUGUGAGAGUGGAAAGUUCACACUGUGACGGUAUCUUACCAGAAAGGGGCGGCUAACUACGUG